RNAcentral lists this ribosomal RNA (1451 nucleotides) under Lactiplantibacillus plantarum subsp. plantarum. Its description in RNAcentral is "bacterial SSU rRNA". It matches the Rfam family "Bacterial small subunit ribosomal RNA". The record is from RNAcentral. Lineage: Bacteria; Bacillati; Bacillota; Bacilli; Lactobacillales; Lactobacillaceae.
UGCUUGCAUUCAUGAUUUACAUUUGAGUUGAGUUGGCGAACUUGGUGAGUAACACGUGGGAAACCUGCCCAGAAGCGGGGGAUAACACCUGGAAACAGAUGCUAAUACCGCAUAACAACUUGGACCGCAGGUCCGAGCUUGAAAGAUGGCUUCGGCUAUCACUUUUGGAUGGUCCCGCGGCGUAUUAGCUAGAUGGUGGGGUAACGGCUCACCAUGGCAAUGAUACGUAGCCGACCUGAGAGGGUAAUCGGCCACAUUGGGACUGAGACACGGCCCAAACUCCUACGGGAGGCAGCAGUAGGGAAUCUUCCACAAUGGACGAAAGUCUGAUGGAGCAACGCCGCGUGAGUGAAGAAGGGUUUCGGCUCGUAAAACUCUGUUGUUAAAGAAGAACAUAUCUGAGAGUAACUGUUCAGGUAUUGACGGUAUUUAACCAGAAAGCCACGGCUAACUACGUGCCAGCAGCCGCGGUAAUACGUAGGUGGCAAGCGUUGUCCGGAUUUAUUGGGCGUAAAGCGAGCGCAGGCGGUUUUUUAAGUCUGAUGUGAAAGCCUUCGGCUCAACCGAAGAAGUGCAUCGGAAACUGGGAAACUUGAGUGCAGAAGAGGACAGUGGAACUCCAUGUGUAGCGGUGAAAUGCGUAGAUAUAUGGAAGAACACCAGUGGCGAAGGCGGCUGUCUGGUCUGUAACUGACGCUGAGGCUCGAAAGUAUGGGUAGCAAACAGGAUUAGAUACCCUGGUAGUCCAUACCGUAAACGAUGAAUGCUAAGUGUUGGAGGGUUUCCGCCCUUCAGUGCUGCAGCUAACGCAUUAAGCAUUCCGCCUGGGGAGUACGGCCGCAAGGCUGAAACUCAAAGGAAUUGACGGGGGCCCGCACAAGCGGUGGAGCAUGUGGUUUAAUUCGAAGCUACGCGAAGAACCUUACCAGGUCUUGACAUACUAUGCAAAUCUAAGAGAUUAGACGUUCCCUUCGGGGACAUGGAUACAGGUGGUGCAUGGUUGUCGUCAGCUCGUGUCGUGAGAUGUUGGGUUAAGUCCCGCAACGAGCGCAACCCUUAUUAUCAGUUGCCAGCAUUAAGUUGGGCACUCUGGUGAGACUGCCGGUGACAAACCGGAGGAAGGUGGGGAUGACGUCAAAUCAUCAUGCCCCUUAUGACCUGGGCUACACACGUGCUACAAUGGAUGGUACAACGAGUUGCGAACUCGCGAGAGUAAGCUAAUCUCUUAAAGCCAUUCUCAGUUCGGAUUGUAGGCUGCAACUCGCCUACAUGAAGUCGGAAUCGCUAGUAAUCGCGGAUCAGCAUGCCGCGGUGAAUACGUUCCCGGGCCUUGUACACACCGCCCGUCACACCAUGAGAGUUUGUAACACCCAAAGUCGGUGGGGUAACCUUUUAGGAACCAGCCGCCUAAGGUGGGACAGAUGAUUAGGGUGAAGUCGUAACAAGGUAGC